UGGCUAAGGGUGGGUUCGAAACCAUGUUUAUGCUUGCUAUAUGAUUUGAUUACUUCUAAUUGCGUUUCAUAAGUUGUGGAUUCAAUUUGCUUAUCUAUUUGAAUUAAACUGAUUUGUGUGUGUUGGUUGAGAGUGCACGCUUAAUUGUCAUGCAUAAAUCUAAUGCUAGAAUAUAAGGAAAUUUCACCUAAUCGUCAUGAACUUAUAUUCACAAGUAGUAAAGGUUGUUGAUCACAAUUGUGUUAAGUAAAUUCUUGGCAUAAGUUUCAUGCACUUCCAUAGUUACGAGUGCCUCGUCAAUACUUAUGAUUUCCAUUGAACGUAAUGAUCUUUGAUUGUAUCUUUAUUAUGCGCUUUCAUAUAGAGAACUUUUGAGGAAUAAUUUGAUUGCGAUGCGCUUUUUCCGUCCAAUUCAUUGACAUAAGGGAAAUCUAAAAGUUAAUUUAAGCGGACCUAAUUAACUUGGAGUGUUGAGUAUUCAAGGUUUAUUGAAUUGCAAUUAGAAAUCGUUUUGUAUGCAAGUGUGACAUGUGUGGAGAAGAACCCCUUAGCUAGCUUUUCAUCCAUUCAAUUUAAUCAAAUUCGUUUUAGAAUCUGUUCAAUUUACAAGUUUUGUUUUUGUUUUCAAUUUUCGUCAAAACCAAAUCCCCAUUUAUUUUGAAGUGUUAGAUUAGUUAGAAAUCAAUUUAGUUUGUGUUUUUAAGUGUCUUGAGUCAAGUUUAAACCUAUUUUUGUCCAAUUUUGUGUUUGUGUUCAAAACUGCCCAGAAAGUGUUUUUAAGGCAGUUUUGAGUGUUUAUUUGCUGUUUUGAGUCUUGUGCUUUGUUUUGGUGUGUUAUAGUUUAGUUUUGCAUUCUUUGAGUCUAGUGUAGUGUUUUAAACUUUGUUUUUACGUUUUGAGUCAGUUUUCAAUGAUUUGGCAAUCCCUCAUAAUCCCCGGCCUAGAACGAUCCCUACUUACAUACUUUGCUACAAUUGAUAAAAAGAGGGUUUAAUUUGUGUGCUUAUAUAUUUCGCAUCAGGUGUCGAGGAUCCUCUUUGUAAGCCGAGUUUCUGCUUGGUCUCUGCUUGGUCUUUGUUGGUUUCAGUCAGGUAUCUCGGCCUGACGUACAGCCUUAAGGAGCUGUAGGACAAGGGGGUUCUGAAU
RNAcentral lists this long non-coding RNA (1146 nucleotides) under Malus domestica (apple). RNAcentral's name for it is "long non-coding RNA (MDOM_LNC016362)". The record is from RNAcentral. Lineage: Eukaryota; Viridiplantae; Streptophyta; Magnoliopsida; Rosales; Rosaceae.